CGAACGCUGGCGGCGUGCUUAACACAUGCAAGUCGAACGGAAAGGCUCCUUCGGGGGCGCUCGAGUGGCGAACGGGUGAGUAACACGUGGGUGAUCUGCCCUGCACUUCGGGAUAAGCCUGGGAAACUGGGUCUAAUACCGGAUAGGACCACAUGCUGCAUGGUGUGUGGUGGAAAGUUUUCAAUGGUGUGGGAUGGGCCCGCGGCCUAUCAGCUUGUUGGUGGGGUGAUGGCCUACCAAGGCGACGACGGGUAGCCGGCCUGAGAGGGUGUCCGGCCACACUGGGACUGAGAUACGGCCCAGACUCCUACGGGAGGCAGCAGUGGGGAAUAUUGCACAAUGGGCGCAAGCCUGAUGCAGCGACGCCGCGUGGGGGAUGACGGCCUUCGGGCUGUAAACCUCUUUCACCAUCGACGAAGCUGCCCGAAGGGGUGGUGACGGUAGGUGGAGAAGAAGCACCGGCCAACUACGUGCCAGCAGCCGCGGUAAUACGUAGGGUGCGAGCGUUGUCCGAAAUUACUGGGCGUAAAGAGCUCGUAGGUGGUUUGUCGCGUUGUUCGUGAAAUCUCACGGCUUAACUGUGAGCGUGCGGGCGAUACGGGCAGACUGGAGUACUGCAGGGGAGACUGGAAUUCCUGGUGUAGCGGUGGAAUGCGCAGAUAUCAGGAGGAACACCGGUGGCGAAGGCGGGUCUCUGGGCAGUAACUGACGCUGAGGAGCGAAAGCGUGGGGAGCGAACAGGAUUAGAUACCCUGGUAGUCCACGCCGUAAACGGUGGGUACUAGGUGUGGGUUUCCUUCCUUGGGAUCCGUGCCGUAGCUAACGCAUUAAGUACCCCGCCUGGGGAGUACGGCCGCAAGGCUAAAACUCAAAGGAAUUGACGGGGGCCCGCCCAAGCGGCGGAGCAUGUGGAUUAAUUCGAUGCAACGCGAAGAACCAUACCUGGGUUUGACAUGCACAGGACGCGCUCAGAGAUGGGUGUUCCCUUGUGGUCUGUGUGCAGGUGGUGCAUGGCUGUCGUCAGCUCGUGUCGUGAGAUGUUGGGUUAAGUCCCGCAACGAGCGCAACCCUUGUCUCAUGUUGCCAGCACGUGAUGGUGGGGACUCGUGAGAGACUGCCGGGGUCAACUCGGAGGAAGGUGGGGAUGACGUCAAGUCAUCAUGCCCCUUAUGUCCAGGGCUUCACACAUGCUACAAUGGCCGGUACAAGGGGCUGCGAUGCCGUGAGGUUUAGCGAAUCCUUUAAAGCCGGUCUCAGUUCGGAUCGGGGUCUGCAACUCGACCCCGUGAAGUCGGAGUCGCUAGUAAUCGCAGAUCAGCAAUGCUGCGGUGAAUACGUUCCCGGGCCUUGUACACACCGCCCGUCACGUCAUGAAAGUCGGUAACACCCGAAGCCAGUGGCCUACCCGUGUGGGGGGGAGCUGUCGAAGGUGGGAUCGGCGAUUGGG
Molecule: ribosomal RNA, 1447 nt
Filed under: uncultured bacterium
Lineage: Bacteria
Description: bacterial SSU rRNA
Rfam family: Bacterial small subunit ribosomal RNA
Source: RNAcentral